GCCUGGGUGGCUCAGUUGGUUAAGUGACUGACUUCAGCUCAGGUCAUGAUCUCGUGGUUCGUGAGUUCAAGUCCCACAUCAGGCU
Molecule: transfer RNA, 85 nt
Filed under: Felis catus (domestic cat)
Lineage: Eukaryota; Metazoa; Chordata; Mammalia; Carnivora; Felidae
Rfam family: tRNA
About the family: Transfer RNA (tRNA) molecules are approximately 80 nucleotides in length.
Source: Rfam by way of RNAcentral